ACUGACAGCCAUGGUUACCGCGGCUGCUGGCACGGAGUUAGCCGGUGCUUCUUCUGUGAGUGAUGUCCUUCCUGCCGGCUAUUAACCCGCAGGCCUUCUUCCUCACUGAAAGUGCUUUACAACCCGAAGGCCUUCUUCACACACGCGGCAUGGCUGGAUCAGGGUUGCCCCCAUUGUCCAAUAUUCCCCACUGCUGCCUCCCGUAGGAGUCUGGGCCGUGUCUCAGUCCCAGUGUGGCUGAUCAUCCUCUCAGACCAGCUACGGAUCGUCGCCUUGGUGAGCCGUUACCUCACCAACCAGCUAAUCCGACAUAGGCUCAUCCGAUAGCGCGAGGCCCGAAGGUCCCCCGNUUUCCCCCGUAGGGCGUAUGCGGUAUUAGCCUGGGUUUCCCCAGGUUAUCCCCCACUACCGGGCAGAUUCCUAUGCAUUACUCACCCGUCCGCCGCUCGCCACCAGGGAGCAAGCUCCCCGUGCUGCCGCUCGACUUGCAUGUGUUAGGCCUGCCGCCAGCGUUCAAU
RNAcentral lists this ribosomal RNA (518 nucleotides) under uncultured bacterium. RNAcentral's name for it is "partial 16S ribosomal RNA". The record is from RNAcentral.